This 403-nucleotide ribosomal RNA is filed under the name Verrucomicrobiota bacterium. RNAcentral describes it as "Verrucomicrobia bacterium partial 16S ribosomal RNA". It matches the Rfam family "Bacterial small subunit ribosomal RNA", at positions 355 to 776 of the family's 1533-position model. Lineage: Bacteria; Pseudomonadati; Verrucomicrobiota. The record is from RNAcentral.
UGGGGAAUAUUGCACAAUUGGCGCAAGCCUGAUGCAGCAACGCCGCGUGAACGAUGAAGGUCUUCGGAUCGUAAAGUUCUUUUGCAGGGGAAGAUAAUGACGGUACCCUGUGAGGAAGCCCCGGCUAACUACGUCCCAGCAGCCGCGGUAAUACGUAGGGGGCUAGCGUUAUUCGGCUUUACUGGUCGUAAAGGGUGCGUAGGUGGUCCUUCAAGUCGGUGGUUAAAGGCUACGGCUCAACCGUAAUAAGCCGCCGAAACUGGAGGACUUGAGUGCAGGAGAGGAAAGUGGAAUUCCCAGUGUAGCGGUGAAAUGGGUAGAUAUUGGGAGGAACACCAGUAGCGAAGGCGGCUUUCUGGACUGCAACUGACACUGAGGAACGAAAGCGUGGGUAGCAAACAGG